ACACCUAGAGGCGCUCGCUCUACGGCCGGAACCUUGUUGCUAAGGACWGGACGGUUUGCGGCAACCUAGGACGCUGCGGAGUUUGAAUUGAGAGGAGAGGGAAAAGUUUUCCUCAGGUGCUACUGUGCUACUAGAUCUGGCCAUGAGAUGUAAAAGUGGAAAUAGUGUGUGCAACAUUGAGGAAGUUCUUCAAAAGAAGAUGAUUCACCAUUCUUUCCUUCUUCCUGCUGGUUGAAAUUAGACUUGCUGGCUCAAGAUCCUUACAGAAGGCAGAGUAACAAGACUGAAAGAGCUGAGUCUUUGACACUGGAAUACCAAAAUCACCCUUGAAUUUCUACCUCYACCCACUUUCACAUGGAGAGAAAUAAACUUGUAUUUAAGUUACAGUUAUCCUAGGUUUUCUGACAUAUAUAGCCAAAAUUAUCUUGUUCACUAUUACUACAAGUUUAAUGGAUUAAAAAAUGUAUUGUUAUUCUAGAAGUCAGAGUACAAAAUGGGUCUCAUGAGACUAAAAUCAAGGUUUUGGCAAGAUGAGUCUACUUCAGAAAACUCUAGGGAGAGUCUGUUACUUUGCGUUUUCCAGCUCCUAGAGGCUGCUCACAUUCCUUGGCUCUUUAGCAUCUUCUUCAAAGCCAGCAACAUCUGGCAGUCAUUCUUAUAUUGCCAGCUCACUGGUUCUUUUUAUACUGCCUCCCUCUUCCACAUAAAAAGGACUUUGCUAUUCAGUUGAACCCACCCAGAUAAUCAGGACAUCUUCCUACUUUAAGAUCAACUGAUUAGCAAGCUUAAUUCCAUCUGCAAUUUAAAUUCCUCUUUGUGAUAUAAUCUAACAUUCACAGGGUUGGGUGAUUAGGACAUUAACACCUUUGAGGGCCACUGUUCUGCCUACUGUAGUGUACAAAUUUUUAAGUUUUGUGAUUUGAGAAAUACGUUUUUACUUUAUGAUUUACCUUUAAUACAUUUGCAACUUAUACUAUGCUAAUUGGCCAUUACUCUUUAUAGAACAUUUAGCAUUGUGCCCCAUAAUUUUCUAUUUUAUAUAUGUGAAGGACAGGUAGUCUAAAAAUGAAUUAUAAUCUUUUCCAAAUUCACAGGGAAAGUGUAAAUAGGUAGGAUUUUUUCAGUAUUGAAUUUUUUUCAUAUUUUUAAUAAUUUACUUGCAGUUAUUUACUUCUCAUACAAGAUUCACAUGUAAGUUAAGAUAAAGUUCAACAUAGAAUUAUUUUCAAGUGUAAAUUGUACAUAUUUUCUGGUGUUCCUCACUUUCCAAGCACAUUUGAGUACAGCAGUUUAUGAUCCUCUAAUCAUCAAAAAGUUUAAAUUGGUUAAUUUCAUGGAAAUCCGAAUAGUAUGUUGGUGUUACUCCUUCAUUCAAUGCCUAUUUUCAAUCCUAGAGCUUUAAUGGGGUUAGGGUGAGAGAAUUAAAAGAAGUCACAGUGUAUGCAAAUCUUAAGGAUGAAACUAUAGUGCUUUUGAGGUGCAUAUCAAAUAGAAUUAAGCCCCACAUAGCUAAUAAUUCCCCACAUACUUUAGUUUGUCCAUGCCACUGAUGUAGCAUUAUCCCUAUAUGUGGUUUUUGUUUUGUUUACAUCAGGCCCCUCUCCUAAUUAUCUUUGUGUUUCUGAUACUGAAAGCAGUGCCUGUCCAAAAUAUUUUUAAUAUUUAUGGAAAAGAGGAAAAGUUUCUUGUCAUUGGUGAAUCAUUGCAGCACAGAAAUUUUGUGAAGAGCAAAUAGAAUAGGGUAUGCAGACUCUUCCAUAUGUUAUCUGGCACUUGGUAAACAGUACAUGAAAGAACAAAAAAUAAGUAAAUUCUUAGGCAAAGAUUAAAGUCAGAUGUAAAGGACAUAAUCCACUAGAAUUCUUACAUAGUGUCUUUCUCUUCAAGGCAAAAAGGUAAUUUUUAUCCCUGAAAUUGUCAUUUAAAGCACAGGUAUAACUAAAGAGCAAAAGAAAGAGAUGAUGUUAACAUGUUUUGCUUAGCAUUUAGUUGGAAUAUUGUCUAAAAAUGUUAGCUUACCUUAGCUAUAUUAUUUAAGGAACUGUCUCUACAAUAAGUACACUUCCUACCCUAGGAAAAAAUAACACUAUUUGCAAUGCAAUUAGCUAACCUGUGGCACUUGCUACUCUUAUACAGAUCAUUUUUAAAAUGCAAGUUAAAAUUAUGAAAGAAAUAUAAAAAUUGCCUUAGUUUUGUUUCUUGAUUUGCACACACCUAUUUGAA
Urocitellus parryii (Arctic ground squirrel) is the source of this 2223-nucleotide long non-coding RNA. RefSeq lists it as uncharacterized. The record is from RefSeq and is a predicted model, not a curated record. Lineage: Eukaryota; Metazoa; Chordata; Mammalia; Rodentia; Sciuridae.